UACGAAGGGGGCUAGCGUUGUUCGGAAUUACUGGGCGUAAAGCGUACGUAGGCGGCUUUGCAAGUUAGAGGUGAAAGCCUGGAGCUCAACUCCAGAACUGCCUUUAAAACUGCAUCGCUUGAAUCCAGGAGAGGUGAGUGGAAUUCCGAGUGUAGAGGUGAAAUUCGUAGAUAUUCGGAAGAACACCAGUGGCGAAGGCGACUCACUGGACACGUAUUGACGCUGAGGUGCGAAAGCGUGGGGAGCAAACAGG
RNAcentral lists this ribosomal RNA (253 nucleotides) under uncultured bacterium. RNAcentral describes it as "partial 16S ribosomal RNA". It matches the Rfam family "Bacterial small subunit ribosomal RNA", at positions 524 to 776 of the family's 1533-position model. The record is from RNAcentral.